GACUGGCGCUUCCGCGGCCGCUCGUGCCGGCUCCCGGGUUUCUCUGGCUGUGUUCCUUGCGCCCCUCGCCGAGGGUCUUCCAUUUCUCCAAACCGGAUUAUUUAAAAAGAGAGAAAAAGAAAGAGAGGAAAACAAAGCAAGAUCACGUCAUUGCCCGCCCCACCAUUCAGGAGGCCAGAUGUCAGUUUUGAAAGAAAUGGCGCUAUAACCUAUUUCGAGAUUCGGGAAAGGAAACCGCUGCUUGCAGCCAUCGCGACACCGCAACACUGCGUGGUGCUGGCGGUGCCGGAGCGGCAGGCCGGGCUCCGGACCAGAGAGAAAGGGAAAGGGAGAGAAUCAUUGAUUGGUUAUCUCCUGCUGGUCCAACACUGGGGAUUGAGCCCACAACCUGGGCAUUGACUGGGAAUUCAAACCGUGACCUUCUGGUUCAUAUGUCAACACUCAACCUCUGAACCAUGCUAGCUGGGGGAAGGCUCACUAGGGAGCGUCUCAUGCAUAUGGUGAAAGCAUGCAGGAGACAGUGGUGCUGAAGACUCCCGAGUCUGUGUGCUGAAGCUGUUUGCAGCAUUCUUCUGACGUCAUGCUGCUGAGAUCUGCACAACCCUCGGCCGGUGGCAGAUUUCUUCCCCUGUGGCCGGCUGUGACUUUCAGGUCUUUCAUUGUUUUAGUCAUGCUGCUUCUUUGUGGUUCCCUGAAGAAGGAGCUGAGGCUAUGAGACAAAGCUUUUACCUUUGCUUAGAGCUCAGAGUUGUGAUGAGAAGCAGUAAAUAAAAUCUCUUUCCACA
Long non-coding RNA from Eptesicus fuscus (big brown bat), 785 nucleotides. RefSeq lists it as uncharacterized. The transcript is spliced from 3 exons. The record is from RefSeq and is a predicted model, not a curated record. Lineage: Eukaryota; Metazoa; Chordata; Mammalia; Chiroptera; Vespertilionidae.